This 68-nucleotide transfer RNA is filed under the name Ascidiella aspersa. Its description in RNAcentral is "tranfer RNA-Asp". Lineage: Eukaryota; Metazoa; Chordata; Ascidiacea; Phlebobranchia; Ascidiidae. The record is from RNAcentral.
GUGCUUCUAGUUGAAUAACCCCUGACAGUUUUAUGUCAGGGGGGGGGGGAAGUGGUGGUUGAUGAAUU